This is a long non-coding RNA of Humulus lupulus (European hop), 181 nucleotides long. RefSeq lists it as uncharacterized. The record is from RefSeq and is a predicted model, not a curated record. NCBI's taxonomy places the organism in Eukaryota, Viridiplantae, Streptophyta, Magnoliopsida, Rosales, Cannabaceae. The transcript has 2 exons.
AUUUGUCAUGCAGCCAGCCCCUAUACAGAUUUCUUACAUGGGAUUUCCUGGAACUACAGGCGCGGACUAUAUACCUUACCUGGUUACUGAUGAGUUUGUGUCACCUUCUCAAUUCAGUCAUAUUUAUUCAGAAAAGAUUGUCCAUCUUCCUCAUUGUUACUUUGUAAAUGAUUACAAGCAG